UAAUUUGCCUCGUCGAAGUACUGACUUUACAAGCAGGGACUAUUAUAUUAAUAUAAGAAAAGCUUUGGUUACUGGGUAUUUUAUGCAGGUGGCACAUUUAGAACGAACAGGGCAUUACUUAACUGUGAAAGAUAACCAGGUGGUUCAGUUGCAUCCCUCUACUGUUCUUGACCACAAACCUGAAUGGGUGCUUUAUAAUGAGUUUGUUCUAACAACAAAGAAUUACAUCCGGACAUGUACAGAUAUCAAGCCAGAAUGGUUCCAUUCUACAUCAAAAGGUAUUUGGAAAAUGUCUUUCACUGUAUGUGUACAUGGAGAACCAUAACCUAUAAUUGUAUGUAAAUCUAGUGAUUGUGAAAAACAAGAAACUUGCAGACACAUAUUAACAGUUGGUGACUUAUCGCCAGUUGGUGACUUAUUUACCUACCCCUGCCUCUCAAAUCUUGUUAUAACAAUUAAACAGUUCGUAU
RNAcentral lists this small RNA (470 nucleotides) under Pan troglodytes (chimpanzee). Its description in RNAcentral is "processed transcript". Lineage: Eukaryota; Metazoa; Chordata; Mammalia; Primates; Hominidae. The record is from RNAcentral.